Molecule: long non-coding RNA, 3648 nt
Filed under: Canis lupus familiaris (dog)
Lineage: Eukaryota; Metazoa; Chordata; Mammalia; Carnivora; Canidae
Description: lncRNA (ENSCAFG00000058990.1)
Source: RNAcentral
UUUGUAAACUGAGGUUCAUAAAUGUUUCUCACUAGAUAAUUAAUUGCUGCCCUUUCAUGUAGGUAGUAGGCAGAGGAAAGGAAAAUUCUAAUCUCUACCAUUUUAACAACUAUUUUUCUUACCCUUUUUUUCUUAUAACCUCAGGGCUCAAAAAAAAAAAAAGAAUAGAACAGAAAGCAACUUGUAGUUCUGAUUGAUUGACAAUAGAAUACUGCUGGUUUAUGCUCAGAAUGUGUACCUGGAUAUUUGGAAGAAUUUGCCUCAUACAAUCAAAUAAAAAUCAGUUGCUACCCUGAUUUCAUUAACUAUAAUAGCAUUUAUUACAGUGUCAUUUCUACAUCUCAGAUGAAGCUUUUAUCUCAAAAUAGAAUGUGUCCUCAUCUCUUUCUGAGACCUGUUUCAUAGUAAAACAGCUGCCAACACUCAUAAAAGGAAAAAAAAAAAGCUCUUUAAAACUCUGAGGCUAUAUUUAGUACACAAAGCCUUUGUUGAAUACAUUACCAUAUUCUUUGUCAAGCACUUGGUUCCAAUAUACAAGGUGAAUAUAAGAAAGGUAGACUUUGCUAGAUGAAGAGAAAGAAACUGAGACAGAGUAAGUGAGCCACUGACCAUAGAACCCAAGGCACAGCUGCCAAACCCAAGAAAAAUGCUGGAAAAAAAUUACAGAAUAUUAGUGCCAGAGCCAUCUUAUAGUCAUCUAGUGGAAAAAUUACUGAAUGCUAGUGCAGGAGGGAUCUUAGAGUCACCUAAUGUAGUCUUUCCACCCUAGAGAUGAGUAGAUUGAGGCUGAAGCUGAGAAGGAUAAUGCACUGGCUACUAUGUGCUUGAAAUAUGGUUAGCACAACUGAGAGACAAAUUUUAAAUUUUGGUUGCUUUAAGUUCCAACUUCAAUUUCAAGAAGCUCAUAUGCCUAGUGGUUACCUGUCAGACAGGUCGGAGGCCCUUUGUAGAUCCUUCUUUUCAAUGGGGUUUAAAGUCCUGGCCAAUGGGUUAAAACUCAAAAAAGACAAAACUCAUUCAAAAUUAACGAAAUCCUCAAAACCUUCUGAAACCAUCCAAGAGUGAACAUGACAGGCAUUCCCGGGGAAAGUGAUCAAUAAAACAAAAACCUACAAAACCCAAAAACAUUUGUGAGGACUUAAAUUCUGCCUCAGGAGGUGUGCAAAGGGUAAGAAAGAGCCAAAGUGGCACCAGAGACCAGCCAGGGAACAUACUUCUUGUUCUGACUUCUCCACGAGAAUUUUGCCUGAAUGGAGAUGAUGUGAAGGACAGCUUGUGGAGAGGCAAUCAGUGAUGAACAAAAGGGGAGCCACUGAGCAAGAUGGCAGGGUUGGAAAGACCGAGAAGAUCAUCCUGCCCAUCUCCUUUGCGCACCACGCAUGGAAUCGAUGCCAGGAAGAUGAGUGGACAGCGGACACUAAUCAAGUAUAUUGGAUUUUUAUCGGUCUGUUAGCAAGAUGGUGUAUGACCUUGGAAAGCACACUUUAACUGGCUAUCUCACUUGCUUCGUCUGCUUGAAGAAAUGGUAAUGAGACUUGGUUUCAGGUGCUUGGGGGAAGCAUAAGAUGAAAGUGUAAGAUAUCAUCGUCACUUGUUCUUUUUUUCCUUUUCUAUCAGGCCAUCCUUCUCUCUCCUCUUAAUAAGACCAGUCACUUUCAAACUAUAGCCUAGUGUCUAGUUAUAGAAUCGUUCUUUGAAAACAGUCAGGCUAAAUGCUUUUUUUAGCUUCUUUGAAAAUAUAACAAUUGGAGCUAAAAUUAGUGUUGUUCGUGUACUCAAUAGAAAAGGCUUUACAAUAUUUAAAGAAGGAGCAGAACUGUGUGAAGUCCACAGACUCUAAAGAAGUAAAUGUGAGUAAACGCUGAAUUAAGAAUACUCUGAACUAUUCUUAAUUAAAGUUCAAAUGAUUGUGACUCUGGAAGUAUAAUUGCAAGUUACUGUAAUGUCUUUCACUUCUACUAUUUUUCUGCAUGCCAGAAAAUUUGCUUAUUUCCUAACUUCAGGACGACUCCAGAAUAAUUAUCUUUGAGAAGCAUGUUGUUGUAAUAUGACCUUUGUCCUACUCUCCCAUCUAACUUUUCCCCCAUCUACUUUUUAAAUUUCAUCAAUUUAGGAAACUAUACAGUGCUUGCUGUAUAUCCAAUGUUAUACUAAGCACAUUCUAAGUGUUAAGGCUUUUACACAGCACCGUUAGGCAGUAGGUACUAUUAUUAUGUCCAACUUACAAAGGAGAUGAAGAAUCUUGUCCAAGUCCUCGCACUCCUCAUGGCAAAGCUGGGGAAUGAGACAGUAGUUUGGGUCUCUCAAGCGCAAGGCCACACUGCCUCGUUUUAUAUAUAUACUUACAUCAUAUUAAAAACUAGUCUUUCUAAAAUUAACUGACUUGAAAACCUUUUUAGGGACACCUGGAUGGCUCGGUGGCUGAGCAUCUACCUUUGGCUCAGGUCAUGAUUCUGGGUCCUGGGAUCUAGUCCCAUAUCAGGAUCCCUGCAAGGAGCCUGCUUCUCCCUCGGCCUACUCUCUGCUUCUCUUCGUGUGUCUCUCAUGAAUAAAUAAAUAAAAUCUUAAAAAAAAAAGAAAACUUUUUUAGUAGGCCCCAUUUUUAUCUCAGUGUGCUUGCCCAUGCCAUCAGACCCCACUCACUUCACUUCCAAUGAAUCUCAUAUACGUGAAUCAUUUGUCUCAAAAAGAGAUAAGUCACUACUGGAACAAGGAUCAUAAAAGGAGAAAACAUCAAAACCAGUCUCAGUGUGGUGUUGUUCUUUUUGUUUGUUUUUGUUCUUUUACUUUAUUGUUUCUGAAAGUUAAAGGACAGAAAUGGGAAGAAGGUGGACCAGAAACAUCUGGUAGAGGAGAUCCACGAAAGAAGAGAAAGAACAACACAAGGAAUAAAGAAAAGAAAUGUAGAAGAAAGACACAACACAUGUCAGCUUUGCAGAGCCUCCUAACAUGUUCAGUUCUCACAGGACAAAUUUAUUAAGUGCUAAUUAUUUAGAGUCAGUGAGUUGAGAGGUUAAAGAAUAGGUUGGCCUUCAAAUAAAUAUACCUUACUAUCCCAAAAGGAAACAGUCUUGAAUAAGGCCACUGAGCCAAUGUGUAGCCUUUUGUUACUUUUCUUCACUGGCUGGGAAGGACAACCUGAAGCAGAGAGAAUAAGGCUUCAGCUGGAGUUCCGGAGAAACCCUCUAGGAGAGAGAUGGGCAUGACGGCAAACACUUCCUUCUGUGCUGAGCAAAUCCAACGUGAGAGGUUUUGAAUUUGUGUCCUCACCACUGUUGAUAUUUAGAGAUUUUAACACCUCCUCCAUUUGGAUUUAAUGGCAUAUAUCUAACCAUGCAUUUGAACUGCAAGCAAUGUGACUUCAAUCUCAUCAGUUUACAUACACAUGCACUACAUACACACAGACUUCAUUUUCUUCUGGUUUUAUUCGAGACACAAUUGACCUACAUCACUGUGUAAGUUACAGGUGUGCAGCAAAAUGGCUUGAUGCAAAUAUAUUGUGAAAUGAUCACUACUAUAAUUUUAGUUAUUUAGCAAGCCCAGCAUCUUAUAGAGAUACAAUAAAAAAAAAAAGAAACAAAAAUUGUUUUUCCUUGGGACGAGAACUCUUAGGAUCUAUCCUCUUAAAAAAAAAAAAAAAAAAAAAAA